CAUUUUCUUGAAACUCCAUUAUUUUAUGUAUACACACAAAAUGUAUGUAUAUAUGCAACUACAAAUCUCUCUCUCUCUGUAUCUCUCUCUGAAGAAAGAGAUGAAAACAUACAGAUACGAAGAAGGUGAUUAUAUACGCACAAAAAUCUUGCAAAAUCUUUCUCGUCUGUUUCUUUUUUUCACCCUUUUUUAUUACGUGUAUAUAUAAUUAGAUAUAAAUUUGCAGGAGAAAAUUAAAAGAAAAAAUUGGGAAGAAAGAAAAAAGACAACCUUGGCGGACUGGUGUUGAAAAUUCAAGCACUUGUAAUUGUUGUCCCGUGGUUGGUACGUUUUGGAUCUCAUUAAGGAAAGACACUGCGUAUGGUGAGUGGGUCCACGGUUUUUUUUGUCCUAGGAAGCAACCUUUCUUAAAAAUAAGAUAGAGUAACACUUUAUCUUUUUAACCAUUUUUUGCUCACUUAUAAUAUUCAUUAAUUUAAUAAUUUUAUAACUUUUUAAUAUACUUAAAAUGUUGGGAAAAAAUAUUUAUCCAUAAUAAAUCAUAAUUUCCAUUAAAUAAAAAAUUAAAUAUGAAACUUUGUUUUUUUAAUCAAAACUGGUAUUGUGCUAAACUCUUAUCUGUUUACGUCUUAUUUUUUAUCUUUGACUCAUACUUGUUUAGUAGUAUUGUUAUAUUGUUCGAGAAAUUAUUUAUUAUAGUCAGCUCUUUGUUGAUCUUCUUGUGUAGUUUUGAUAAAUUGUUCUUAAAAUCAUAUGUUUACUUUUUAUCCCUCUUACACAUUCAUAUUUUGAUAUUAACAAAAUUUUGUGUAACAAUUAUUAGAAGAAUGAAAAAAAAUGUCGAUGAGCAUGAUAUGAUAUGGAGUGAUUUAUGUUCAAUGCCUUGACCAUUUAUAUGUUUCGAAGAUUUUAGUGUUCUAGUGAAAGUUAAAGAUUAUGUUCUGUGUAAUAUUUUUGGUUGAUUCAUAUUUGUAUUGGACGUUUUAUAUGUGAUAUCAACUUUUAUUACGGUAUCUUCACAUCGUGUUUUUAAUUUAUUUUUUUAUAUGUAUUUGUAUGCUACAGUUUUAUACAUGUGACACAAAUUUCUAUUAAAUUAUAUUUAUAAAUAUGUUUUAUAUUAUAACUAUGAUAUCUAAUAUAUUUAUUUGUUUUUCCAUGAUUUUAGAAUUAAUAUGGGUAAUCAUGAUUAUCUUGGAUUAAUAAAAAUAAUUAUACAUGUAAGUAGAAUGCACAAACACGUGUACGACCUUAGUGAGGAGGUAUGAGGUCCGGGUUUUCAUUUAUAAUUAUACAUAUGAUUUUUUUUUUUUGAGUUUUUAUAAAUUACCUUUCCGUUUUUUCCAGCUUACCCAAGUUAAAUUUUUUUCCAUAUGUAUCAAUCAAGUAAUAGUUUCUUAUAAAAUAUAUCUUUUUUUAUUUAUUGUGUCUUAUUAAUAUUUUGAAUAAUAUUAUUUUUAUUUAAUAUGUUCUUUAAGAACAUAUAUUAGAUAAAAUUAAUUUUAUAAUGAUGUGAUUUACAUGCUUCCAGAAUUAAAAUUGAUUAAUAAUAUCUGAUUUGAAUUUAAAAAAGAAAUCACAUAUAUGUGAAAGUCAGAAUAUAUUUUGAAUUAAAAAAAGGAAUUAUGCAAGUAGAUACCAAUUGACUUAUAUUUUCUUUUUUCUAAUCUAAGAGUGCUUAUUUAUCCUGAUACAACGGAUGAUAACGAGACCAUUCAACCAAAUUAUCUUCCUUACGCUUAUUGUAUACAAGUAUAUAAUAUUUUUUAUGUUUUAUCUUAUUGUAGUUCUUAUUUUAUGUAUGUAGAUAAUUUUUUUUCUUAUAAUUUAUUAGGGUUUUGGCUUCAAAUAUUACUAUUUAGUAGAAAAAGGUCUCUAUUAUCAUUUUCUGAAAAAAUAGUCCAUAAUGUUAAUUGAAACUGCAAUUCCAUGUCUUCACAAUGUGGGACAAAAACACAAUUUUAAAUUGUGGUUUCAGUUAAAAACGUAAUUUCAAGUCGUGUUUUUUUCAUAAAAUUAAAACGCAGCACGAAGUUGCGUUUUGAAGUGAUAGUUAGGAUAUUUUUUCAGAAAAUGACAUUGAAAUUCAUUUUUUUAAAAAUAAUAACUUUUUUACAUUGGUUCACUUAGUUUGCAGGUUAU
RNAcentral lists this long non-coding RNA (2142 nucleotides) under Daucus carota (carrot). RNAcentral describes it as "long non-coding RNA (DCAR_LNC000762)". The record is from RNAcentral. Lineage: Eukaryota; Viridiplantae; Streptophyta; Magnoliopsida; Apiales; Apiaceae.